This 254-nucleotide ribosomal RNA is filed under the name uncultured microorganism. RNAcentral's name for it is "partial 16S ribosomal RNA". It matches the Rfam family "Archaeal small subunit ribosomal RNA", at positions 474 to 727 of the family's 1478-position model. The record is from RNAcentral.
CACCGGCGGCUCGAGUGGUGGCCACUUUUAUUGGGUCUAAAGCGUCCGUAGCCGGCUUGGCAAGUCCCCUGGGAAAUCUGGCGGCUUAACCGUCAGGCGUCCAGAGGAUACUGCCAGGCUUGGGACCGGGAGAGGUGAGAGGUACCUCAGGGGUAGGGGUGAAAUCUUGUGAUCCCUGAGGGACCACCAGUGGCGAAGGCGUCUCACUAGAACAGGUCCGACGGUCAGGGACGAAAGCUGGGGGCACGAACCGG